AAAGCCUUUUCCAUCUUCAAGAAUCUUCCACGUUCCAGUACUUAAUAAUAUUUAUUUAGAAACUGAAUAUAAUUAAUCAAGAGUCUUUUAAUGGAGAGGAGACUACAAUCACAAGAUAGGCUUACUUACUCGAAACUGCUAAUCAAUGAACUACCCGUUAACCUAAGAUAAAUGCUGUACCACCAGGUUGAUCAUCAAGAAAAUACUCACAAUUAUAGUUUGAUAACACAUCACGCUCAGGCUUUGACAUCAUUGAUGACACCAACUAACAACUUUGUAUAACUAAGGAAAGUCCAUAAUAAAAAACUAAUACAAAUAUUGGUAUAUAUAGCACACAUCAAUUAUAUUUCAAAGGAAAAAAGUCCAUAAUGAAGAAGUAACACAAAUUGAUCUGAUAAAUAGAGUCAUCAAUUAUAUUUUAAAGAGGAUUAAAGGACGCACCCUUCCUCUCAAGAGUACUUUCCAACAAGUAAUUGAAGACUAGCUUUAUUUAAUAGAAAGCAUUCUAUACAAUAUGGUCCAGCAAUUGGAACUUAAUUAUUUAAAUAUCU
Molecule: long non-coding RNA, 551 nt
Organism: Atta colombica
Lineage: Eukaryota; Metazoa; Arthropoda; Insecta; Hymenoptera; Formicidae
Exons: 7
Source: RefSeq, a predicted model, not a curated record